This 174-nucleotide microRNA precursor is filed under the name Cajanus cajan (pigeon pea). Its description in RNAcentral is "miRNA gene-KK1_044427". Lineage: Eukaryota; Viridiplantae; Streptophyta; Magnoliopsida; Fabales; Fabaceae. The record is from RNAcentral.
UGCAUAGAUCAAAUCUGCAAAUUUUAAAAAGAUUUAAAAAACAUUUGAUACUUCAUUUCAUUAAUUCAAAUAGAUGUAUAAAAUAAUUUUAUAAUUAUCCAUCAAUUUGAAUUAAUAAAAUGAAGUAUCAAAUGAUUUUGAAAUUUUUUAAAAUUUGCAGACUUGAUCUAUAUA